Unclassified non-coding RNA from Neogale vison (American mink), 109 nucleotides. The record is from Ensembl. Lineage: Eukaryota; Metazoa; Chordata; Mammalia; Carnivora; Mustelidae.
CUACCCGCCACGCGCUCUCAGCCGGCCUACGGGACGCAGCCCUCCCCCCACCUCCCCUUCUCGGCCUUCGCAAGUGUGGGCGCCUCGGGGCACUGGCGAGUCUCUCCAG